RNAcentral lists this non-coding RNA (85 nucleotides) under Desulfosporosinus hippei DSM 8344. The record is from RNAcentral. Lineage: Bacteria; Bacillati; Bacillota; Clostridia; Eubacteriales; Desulfitobacteriaceae.
GAACGCCGUGUGCGAGGAAACCCGCAUGCACGGUGUGGAGCAGGGGAAAAAGUGGAGAUGACAUCAAAGCUUUACCUAUUGCUAU